AUACGGAGGGUGCAAGCGUUAAUCGGAAUUACCGGGCGUAAAGCGUGCGUAGGUGGUUUGUUAAGUCAGAUGUGAAAGCCCCGGGCUCAACCUGGGAACUGCAUUUGAAACUGGCAUACUAGAGUAUAGGAGAGGAAAGUGGAAUUUCAGGUGUAGCGGUGAAAUGCGUAGAUAUCUGAAGGAACAUCAAUGGCGAAGGCAGCUUUCUGGACUAAUACUGACACUGAGGUACGAAAGCGUGGGUAGCAAACAGGAUUAGAUACCCUAGUAGUCC
RNAcentral lists this ribosomal RNA (274 nucleotides) under uncultured bacterium. Its description in RNAcentral is "partial 16S ribosomal RNA". It matches the Rfam family "Bacterial small subunit ribosomal RNA", at positions 523 to 796 of the family's 1533-position model. The record is from RNAcentral.